AUUGAACGCUGGCGGCAUGCCUUACACAUGCAAGUCGAACGGCAGCACGGGUGCUUGCACCUGGUGGCGAGUGGCGAACGGGUGAGUAAUACAUCGGAACGUACCUUAUCGUGGGGGAUAACGCAGCGAAAGCUGUGCUAAUACCGCAUACGCCCUGAGGGGGAAAGCGGGGGAUCGCAAGACCUCGCGCGAUUAGAGCGGCCGAUGCCUGAUUAGCUUGUUGGUGGGGUAAAAGCCCACCAAGGCGACGAUCAGUAGCUGGUCUGAGAGGACGAACACCCACACUGGGACUGAGACACGGCCCAGACUCCUACGGGAGGCAGCAGUGGGGAAUUUUGGACAAUGGGGGCAACCCUGAUCCAGCAAUGCCGCGUGAGUGAAGAAGGCCUUCGGGUUGUAAAGCUCUUUUGUCAGGGAAGAAACACCGGCUCUAACACAGUCUGGGAAUGACGGUACCUGAAGAAUAAGCACCGGCUAACUACGUGCCAGCCGCCGCCGUAA
This 501-nucleotide ribosomal RNA is filed under the name uncultured bacterium. Its description in RNAcentral is "partial 16S ribosomal RNA". It matches the Rfam family "Bacterial small subunit ribosomal RNA", at positions 30 to 523 of the family's 1533-position model. The record is from RNAcentral.